CCUACGGGAGGCAGCAGUGAGGAAUAUUGGUCAAUGGGCGGGAGCCUGAACCAGCCAAGUCGCGUGCGGGAAGAAGGUCCUAAGGGUCGUCAACCUCUUUUGUCCGGGAACAACACCCGCCACUCGUGGCGUUCCGAGAGUACCCGGAGAAAAAGCACCGGCUAAAUCCGUGCCAGCAGCCGCGGUAAUACGGAGGAUGCGAGCGUUAUCCGGAUUUAUUGGGUUUAACGGGUGCGCAGGCGGAAGAGCAAGUCAGCUGUAAAAUCGCGCGGCUCAACCGCGUCCCGCCGUUGAAACUGGUUUCCUUGAGUGCGCGAGAAGUAUGCGGAAUGCGUGGUGUAGCGGUGAAAUGCAUAGAUAUCACGAAGAACCCCGAUUGCGAAGGCAGCAUGCCGGCGCUCAACUGACGCUGAUGCACGAAAGUGUGGGUAUCGAACAGGAUUAGAUACCCGGGUAGUC
RNAcentral lists this ribosomal RNA (459 nucleotides) under uncultured bacterium. Its description in RNAcentral is "partial 16S ribosomal RNA". It matches the Rfam family "Bacterial small subunit ribosomal RNA", at positions 338 to 795 of the family's 1533-position model. The record is from RNAcentral.